UGGGGAAUUUUGGACAAUGGGGGAAACCCUGAUCCAGCCAUCCCGCGUGUGCGAUGAAGGCCUUCGGGUUGUAAAGCACUUUUGGCAGGAAAGAAACGUCGCGGGUUAAUACCCCGCGAAACUGACGGUACCUGCAGAAUAAGCACCGGCUAACUACGUGCCAGCAGCCGCGGUAAUACGUAGGGUGCAAGCGUUAAUCGGAAUUACUGGGCGUAAAGCGUGCGCAGGCGGUUCGGAAAGAAAGAUGUGAAAUCCCAGAGCUUAACUUUGGAACUGCAUUUUUAACUACCGGGCUGGAGUGUGUCAGAGGGAGGUGGAAUUCCGCGUGUAGCAGUGAAAUGCGUAGAUAUGCGGAGGAACACCGAUGGCGAAGGCAGCCUCCUGGGAUAACACUGACGCUCAUGCACGAAAGCGUGGGGAGCAAACAGGAUUAGAUACCCUGGUAGUCCACGCCCUAAACGAUGUCAACUAGCUGUUGGGGCCUUCGGGCCUUGGUAGCGCAGCUAACGCGUGAAGUUGACCGCCUGGGGAGUACGGUCGCAAGAUUAAAACUCAAAUGAAUUGACGGGGUCAUAGCUG
This 579-nucleotide ribosomal RNA is filed under the name uncultured bacterium. Its description in RNAcentral is "partial 16S ribosomal RNA". It matches the Rfam family "Bacterial small subunit ribosomal RNA", at positions 355 to 932 of the family's 1533-position model. The record is from RNAcentral.